This 879-nucleotide long non-coding RNA is filed under the name Homo sapiens (human). RNAcentral's name for it is "non-protein coding lnc-SLC46A2-4:2". The record is from RNAcentral. Lineage: Eukaryota; Metazoa; Chordata; Mammalia; Primates; Hominidae.
UUGUAGUGCCGCGAGUUGAGCUCCUCUUGCCUAAGUGGUCGCGCCCCCUUUAAGAGCAGCGAUUGUAAGGAGAGGCGGUCCCGGUGUCCUCGGGUCCCAGGUGAUUGUGAAGUGCUGACCAAUUGCCACUGGACAUACUUGAAACAAAAUAGGAAAAUGGCAGCAAACUCUUCAGGACAAGACAAGGUCUCGCUGUGUUGCCCAGGCUGAUCUUGAACUCCUGGCCUCAGGUGAUCCUCCUGCCUCAACUUCCCAAAGCACUAGGAUUACAAAUGUUUUCAAAACAAAAAUAGAGUUGCAAUCUUGGCAGAACUGGACAAAGAGAAAAGAAAACUACUUAUGCAGAACCAGUCUUCAACAAAUCAUCCUGGAGCUAGCAUGCUCAUGCACAUUCAUCUGGAUACUUCAUCACUCAAGACUCUGCAUUUGGGAACCUUAUUCUUCCUGUUUUACCUCGCCUUGACCCAGAAUGAAGAAAACAUUUGCGAUGGAAAAGUGACUUUGUAAUAUCAAAUGCCAAAGCUACUAUCAUUCAGUGCUACAUGAACUGUGACUUUAAGAAUUUUGGUGAACUUUGAUAUUUUUUGUUUGUCUGAAAGAAAGGAAUGUGUAAGUGAAAGCUGAAAGAAGAAUAACCAGGAUGAUGAGAGCUGUGGAAGCUGUAUCGUCCAAGGAAUUGAUUAUGUACCGUGACUGUAACUUUUUUGUAAUGCUGUUUAACUCUCAAUCAGACUGUGAACUGGAUGGUCACGAAGUCAUUCCCCAACUCCUAGCAAGUUUGACUGAAUAUAUCAUGUCCACAGUAGAUUUUCAAGAAUCAUUUAUAGUACUUAACUUUAAAGAAACAAGGCUGCUUUUAAAAAAUGAACUAAUAGGCUU